CCUACGGGAGGCAGCAGUGAGGAAUAUUGGUCAAUGGACGAGAGUCUGAACCAGCCAAGUAGCGUGAAGGAUGACUGCCCUAUGGGUUGUAAACUUCUUUUAUAUGGGAAUAAAACAGGGUAUGCAUACCCUCUUGUAUGUACCAUAUGAAUAAGGAUCGGCUAACUCCGUGCCAGCAGCCGCGGUAAUACGGAGGAUCCGAGCGUUAUCCGGAUUUAUUGGGUGUAAAGGGAGCGUAGGUGGAUUGUUAAGUCAGUUGUGAAAGUUUGCGGCUCAACCGUAAAAUUGCAGUUGAAACUGGCAGUCUUGAGUACAGUAGAGGUGGGCGGAAUUCGUGGUGUAGCGGUGAAAUGCGUAGAUAUCACGAAGAACUCCGAUUGCGAAGGCAGCUCACUGGACUGCAACUGACACUGAUGCUCGAAAGUGUGGGUAGCAAACAGGAUUAGAUACCCGAGUAGUC
This 460-nucleotide ribosomal RNA is filed under the name uncultured bacterium. RNAcentral's name for it is "partial 16S ribosomal RNA". It matches the Rfam family "Bacterial small subunit ribosomal RNA", at positions 338 to 795 of the family's 1533-position model. The record is from RNAcentral.